This 478-nucleotide ribosomal RNA is filed under the name uncultured bacterium. Its description in RNAcentral is "partial 16S ribosomal RNA". It matches the Rfam family "Bacterial small subunit ribosomal RNA", at positions 28 to 523 of the family's 1533-position model. The record is from RNAcentral.
GACGAACGCUGGCGGCGUGCUUAACACAUGCAAGUCGAACGGUAAGGCCCUUCGGGGUACACGAGUGGCGAACGGGUGAGUAACACGUGGGUGAUCUGCCCUGCACUUCGGGAUAAGCCUGGGAAACUGGGUCUAAUACCGGAUAGGACCACUGCCUGCAUGGGUGGUGGUGGAAAGCUUUUGCGGGGUGGGAUGGGCGCGCGGCCUAUCAGCUUGUUGGUGGGGUGAGGGCCUACCAAGGCGAGGACGGGUAGCCGGCCUGAGAGGGUGACCGGCCACACUGGGAGUGGGAUACGGCCCAGACUCCUACGGGAGGCAGGAGUGGGGAAUAUUGCACAAUGGGCGCAAGCCUGAUGCAGCGACGCCGCGUGAGGGAUGACGGCCUUCGGGUUGUAAACCUCUUUCAGCACCGACGAAGCGCAAGUGACGGUAGGUGCAGAAGAAGGACCGGCCAACUACGUGCCAGCCGCCGCGGUAA